Non-coding RNA from Pelobates cultripes (western spadefoot toad), 318 nucleotides. The record is from the annotation of a GenBank genome assembly. NCBI's taxonomy places the organism in Eukaryota, Metazoa, Chordata, Amphibia, Anura, Pelobatidae.
GCCAGGGCCGGGCCUAACUGGGCCUUCAGCCAGUCAGCCCCCUGGUGCCUCGCCGCCGACCGGAUCCGCUCCAGCAGUCGCUCCACUUCAUCCAUCGGCCCUGCAGGGAGACAAAAAGGAAAAGCCCUACCAAGCCAAAUCUGUGCCCACAGGAGCGAACACAAACUUAACCAGGUAGGAAGUUAGAAUGAAUUACCUAAAAUGGCUGCCCAUUUAAAUAACCAAACCCACUUACCCAUAACUCCACUCCCUUGCUUACUUCCUCCUAGGCCCGCCUCCUAACCCCUGUCAAGGCCUUUUUUCGCUUAGCUGCGCUUG